RNAcentral lists this ribosomal RNA (486 nucleotides) under uncultured bacterium. Its description in RNAcentral is "partial 16S ribosomal RNA". It matches the Rfam family "Bacterial small subunit ribosomal RNA", at positions 46 to 523 of the family's 1533-position model. The record is from RNAcentral.
GCCUAACACAUGCAAGUCGAGCGGCAGCGAGACUAGUAGCAAUACUAGUUGUCGGCGAGCGGCGGACGGGUGAGGAACACGUAGGAACUUGCCCUUUAGAGGGGGAUAACCAAGGGAAACUUUGGCUAAUACCGCGUAAACUCGAAAGAGGAAAGCUGCCCGCAAGGGUGGCGCUAAAGGAGAGGCCUGCGUCUGAUUAGCUAGUUGGUGAGGUAAUGGCUUACCAAGGCGAUGGUCGGUAACUGGUCUGAGAGGCCGAACAGUCACACUGGGACUGGGACACGGCCCAGACUCCGACGGGAGGCAGCAGUGGGGAAUAUUGGACAAUGGGGGCAACCCUGAUCCAGCGAUGCCGCGUGGGUGGAGAAGGCCUUCGGGUUGUAAAGCCCUUUAGGUUGGGAAGAAGUGAAUUGUAGGAUAAUGACAGUUCAUUGACGGUACCGACAGAAUAAGCACCGGCAAACUCUGUGCCAGCAGCCGCCGCAG